AAAAUAUAGUGCUUCGUAUUAAUCGUUUCUAUCAUUUCACAUGUACAAAUUAAUAUCUCGCAAACGCCUUUAAAUAAAUUGCUAGAUCUAUGUAUUACUCGUGUACGUAUAAAUAAUCUAGACAUUUCACCUUCCUGAUGAAAAUUCAUACCAUUAAAUAUGAUACUAACUUUUAGCUGCACAAUACAUAGGAAGUUACGAAUCACAUCGUAACGUGAAAAGUGUAUCAUUUAAACUAUUUCGUUUAUGGAAUAAGAAUGUGGUUUCUUAUUCGCAAGUUAAUUAAGAGAAUCGUUUAAUAUAGAAACAUAGAGGCACAUUUGCAAAGAAAGUACGUAACCGUAAGAAAAGUGAAAUCAUGUAUCUCUAUCGUCGGUAUCCUUUCAUUUUCCAAGGCUACGAUCUGUUCCAGUUGCAGUUAUCACCCUGUACAUACGCAUAUACAGAUACAUGUACAUAUAUGUAUACAUAUUUCCAUUUGCUCACAAGGCAAGAUACAAAAUCACGAUACAGGAGACGAACACACGACUGUCUUGCAAAGUGAACAAUGCAUCUACAUGAAAGGAACCAAAACGGUCCUGUCAGUGCAGUUAUAUCUCAAUCAAUUGUUUCGUAUCUUCUAUAUCUUCCUCUUUCCUCCUCGUUCCGCUUCUUUUUUUUUCUUUUUUUUUGUCUUUAUUUUUUUUAGUGGGUUAUAUUUUUUCUUUUUUUCUGAGCUGGCGAGGGGGAGGAAAUUUGCACUUAUGACGGAAGUAAGUUUUGGCUCAGCUACCGGGCUGCGCGGCCACUCAUAGAGACACGAUUAACAGUGCUGUACCGCUAUGCGUGCCACGGCCCAAAUAGUUAAUAGAUAUGGAAACGAACACGUUCCAAAUAAAGGGCGGGGUAGGUAGGCUACCUACACCUAGGUCCUACACUCCUACACCUAGGCCUAACGAUAACUACACGUGCCGACACGUCUACCUAGUCCAUUGGCAGGUAGCUCGUAUGUAUUCGUUGAAUUUUGCGCGAACUCUUCGAUACAACAGGAUUCGUUUUCCCUUUUUCUUUUGUUUUUUGUUUCUUUUUUUUUCG
Molecule: unclassified non-coding RNA, 1074 nt
Filed under: Bombus terrestris (buff-tailed bumblebee)
Lineage: Eukaryota; Metazoa; Arthropoda; Insecta; Hymenoptera; Apidae
Description: misc RNA ENSBTSG00005028508.1
Source: RNAcentral